GACGAACGCUGGCGGCGUGCUUAACACAUGCAAGUCGAACGGACAGGCCCUGCUUUUGUGGGGUGCUCGAGUGGCGAACGGGUGAGUAACACGUGAGUAACCUGCCCUUGACUUUGGGAUAACUUCAGGAAACUGGGGCUAAUACCGGAUAGGAGCUCCUGCUGCAUGGUGGGGGUUGGAACGUUUCGGCGGUUGGGGAUGGACUCGCGGCUUAUCAGCUUGUUGGUGGGGUAGUGGCUUACCAAGGCUUUGACGGGUAGCCGGCCUGAGAGGGUGACCGGCCACAUUGGGACUGAGAUACGGCCCAGACUCCUACGGGAGGCAGCAGUGGGGAAUAUUGCACAAUGGGCGGAGGCCUGAUGCAGCAACGCCGCGUGCGGGAUGACGGCCUUCGGGUUGUAAACCGCUUUCGCCUGUGACGAAGCGUGAGUGACGGUAAUGGGUAAAGAAGCACCGGCUAACUACGUG
Molecule: ribosomal RNA, 468 nt
Filed under: uncultured bacterium
Lineage: Bacteria
Description: partial 16S ribosomal RNA
Rfam family: Bacterial small subunit ribosomal RNA
Source: RNAcentral